GAUGAAGAACGUAGCGAAAUGCGAUAAGUAAUGUGAAUUGCAGAAUUCAGUGAAUCAUCGAAUCUUUGAACGCACAUUGCGCCCGCCAGUAUUCUGGCGGGCAUGCCUGUUCGAGCGUCAUUUCAACCCUCAGGCCCCCGGGCCUGGCGUUGGGGAUCGGCGGAAGCCCCCUGCGGGCACAACGCCGUCCCCCAAAUACAGUGGCGGUCCCGCCGCAGCUUCCAUUGCGUAGUAGCUAACACCUCGCAACUGGAGAGCGGCGCGGCCACGCCGUAAAACACCCAACUUCUGAAUGUUGACCUCGAAUCAGGUAGGAAUACCCGCUGAACUUAAGCAUAUCAAUAAGCGGAGGA
RNAcentral lists this unclassified non-coding RNA (353 nucleotides) under soil metagenome. RNAcentral's name for it is "partial contains 5.8S ribosomal RNA, internal transcribed spacer 2, and large subunit ribosomal RNA". The stretch from base 1 to 120 matches the Rfam family "5.8S ribosomal RNA", at positions 35 to 154 of the family's 154-position model. The record is from RNAcentral.